This 423-nucleotide ribosomal RNA is filed under the name Adenomera andreae group sp. ABGD cluster 3. Its description in RNAcentral is "partial large subunit ribosomal RNA". It matches the Rfam family "Bacterial large subunit ribosomal RNA", at positions 1835 to 2457 of the family's 2925-position model. Lineage: Eukaryota; Metazoa; Chordata; Amphibia; Anura; Leptodactylidae. The record is from RNAcentral.
UUUGCUUAAAAUAAAAGGUCCAGCCUGCCCAGUGACACUGUUCAACGGCCGCGGUAUCCUAACCGUGCGAAGGUAGCGUAAUCACUUGUUCUUUAAAUGAGGACUAGUAUGAAAGGCACCACGAGAGUCAUACUGUCUCCUCUUUCCAAUCAGUUAAACUAAUCUCCUCGUGAAGAAGCGAGGAUAACUAUAUAAGACGAGAAGACCCUAUGGAGCUUUAAACGAAUAACACUUGCCCACUUACUCCUUUAAAUUUCAGAAAAAUCUAUUACCUUGGCAUCAUGCUUAUAAGUUUUUGAUUGGGGUGAUCACGGAACAAAAAAUAACCUCCGCAAUGAAAGACUCUCCAUAACUAAGUCAAGAACCACAACUCUACACAUCAACAAAUUGACACCAAUUGACCCAAUUUAUUGAUCAAUGAAC